Octopus sinensis (East Asian common octopus) is the source of this 676-nucleotide long non-coding RNA. RefSeq lists it as uncharacterized. The transcript is spliced from 2 exons. The record is from RefSeq and is a predicted model, not a curated record. Lineage: Eukaryota; Metazoa; Mollusca; Cephalopoda; Octopoda; Octopodidae.
ACUGUGAUAUAUGUGAUAAAUCAUUUUCUUCAAAUAGCACUUUAACUCAUCACAAAUAUACACAUACAGGAGAACAGCCAUAUCAUUGUGAUAUCUGUAGUAAAUCAUUCCCUGGCAGUAGUGACUUGACUAAACGCAAACGUGUUCAUACAGGAAAAAAGCCAUAUCAGUGUGAUAUUUGUGGUUAAUCAUUUUCUAAAAAUAUCGUUUUAACUUGUCACAAAUGUAUUCAUACAGGAGAGAAGCUAUGUCAGUGUGACAUCAGUGGUAAACUGUUCUCCCCAAAAUGCCACAGGCAUUCACAUUUGGGUAUUCACACACAAGUCUAAGUGAAUCAAUGUCGGAAUGGAGUUUUGUCGGUGAACAGGUCGCGGUCUCAAAGCAACGAAAAUAUUUUGAUAAAUUAAAAUUAAAUGUUGAAGUGAAUCUAACGGUUUUUGUGUGUUUCUUAAAUGGCUUAUAAACACCUUCGACACUGGAAUUGUUUUCGUUCCAGCACACGAUCUCAGAUCAGGUCACUUGCUAUGCAAGUACAUCUCCGUGGUUGAGUUUAUUUUUCUUGCUAAAAGACUUGUGUUUUUUUCCCUCAUCAUCAAAUUUGUCAUCUGUAAAAAUAUUGACUCAGAAAUAACUUGAUUACUGAAAAUGCCUGCAGUUGGAUUUUGAGGAAUUUGUU